GCCAGACUCCUACGGGAGGCAGCAGUGGGGGAUAUUGCACAAUGGGGGGAACCCUGAUGCAGCGACGCCGCGUGGGUGAAGGAGCGUUUCGGCGCGUAAAGCCCUAUCGGCAGGGAAGAAGGAGGACGGUACCUGACUAAGAAGCCCCGGCUAACUACGUGCCAGCAGCCGCGGUAAUACGUAGGGGGCAAGCGUUAUCCGGAUUUACUGGGUGUAAAGGGGGCGCAGACGGCAGCGCAAGCCAGGAGUGAAUGCCCGGGGCCCAACCCCGGGACUGCUCUUGGAACUGCGCGGCUGGAGUGCAGGAGGGGCAGGCGGAAUUCCUGGUGUAGCGGUGAAAUGCGUAGAUAUCAGGAGGAACACCGGUGGCGAAGGCGGCCUGCUGGACUGCGACUGACGUUGAGGCCCGAAAGCGUGGGGAGCAAACAGGAUUAGAUACCCUGGUA
RNAcentral lists this ribosomal RNA (446 nucleotides) under uncultured bacterium. RNAcentral describes it as "partial 16S ribosomal RNA". It matches the Rfam family "Bacterial small subunit ribosomal RNA", at positions 330 to 792 of the family's 1533-position model. The record is from RNAcentral.